GGAAUCUUGCGCAAUGGGCGAAAGCCUGACGCAGCAACGCCGCGUGGGUGAUGAAGGUCUUCGGAUUGUAAAACCCUGUCGUUAGGGACGAAGGCAUGAAUCCUAAUACGAUUCAUGUUUGACGGUACCUAGAAAGGAAGCCCCGGCUAACUCUGUGCCAGCAGCCGCGGUAAUACAGAGGGGGCAAGCGUUAUUCGGAAUUAUUGGGCGUAAAGGGUGCGUAGGCGGUUUUUUAAGUCAGAUGUGUAAUCCCCGGGCUCAACUUGGGAACUGCAUCUGAAACUGGAAGACUAGAGUGCUGGAGAGGAUGGUGGAAUUCCACGUGUAGCGGUGAAAUGCGUAGAGAUGUGGAGGAACACCAGUGGCAAAGGCGGCCAUCUGGACAGUAACUGACGCUGAAGCACGAAAGUGUGGGUAGCAAACAGGAUUAGAUACCCUGGUAGUCCACACCGUAAACGAUGAACACUUGGUGUGGUGGGCGUUGACCCCCACUGUGCCGUAGCUAACGCGAUAAGUGUUCCGCCUGGGGAGUACGGUCGCAAGGCUGAAACUCAAAUGAAUUGACGG
This 567-nucleotide ribosomal RNA is filed under the name uncultured bacterium. Its description in RNAcentral is "bacterial SSU rRNA". It matches the Rfam family "Bacterial small subunit ribosomal RNA", at positions 358 to 916 of the family's 1533-position model. The record is from RNAcentral.